CAGCCGCCACGGUAAUACGGAGGGGGCUAGCGUUGUUCGGAAUUACUGGGCGUAAAGCGCACGUAGGCGGCUUUACAAGUCAGAGGUGUAAGCCUGGUGCUCAACACCAGAAUUGCCUUUGAGACUGUAUCGCUUGAACGUCGGAGAGGUGAGUGGAAUUCCGAGUGUAGAGGUGAAAUUCGUAGAUAUUCGGAAGAACACCAGUGGCGAAGGCGGCUCACUGGACGACUGUUGACGCUGAGGUGCGAAAGCGUGGGGAGCAAACAGGAUUAGAUACCCCCGUAGUCCCUGUCUCUUAUAC
This 301-nucleotide ribosomal RNA is filed under the name uncultured bacterium. RNAcentral describes it as "partial 16S ribosomal RNA". It matches the Rfam family "Bacterial small subunit ribosomal RNA", at positions 509 to 807 of the family's 1533-position model. The record is from RNAcentral.